Molecule: long non-coding RNA, 297 nt
Organism: Epinephelus fuscoguttatus (brown-marbled grouper)
Lineage: Eukaryota; Metazoa; Chordata; Actinopteri; Perciformes; Serranidae
Exons: 3
Source: RefSeq, a predicted model, not a curated record
UUUCACUUUAAUCCUUUUUUCAAUCUCCUCCAUAUGAAACUGAUUUGUUGCUGAGACCGAGAAGAUCAAACAAUCCACGAGAGCAAAUCUGAGACUCCAGAUAACUGAAACUGGGAUAAAGUGACACAGAGGAGUGUAACAGUAAACCUGUUUAUUGUCCUUGGCAGAAGAAGCUCAGUGAUGAGAGGAUCAGAAGGGAGGCAGCUGAGAGAGAAGUUGAGGCCUUAAAGAAGGAGCUGACGACUAAGGGCCCUGAAGUCCUGGAGCCUUAGACACCAACUGCAGAUCACUGUCAUC